UGUACAUUUGUGUAGGUGUGUGUGAAAAAGAGAAAAUGAGAUUAUCUAUACAUGGAGCGAGAGGGAGAGUGAGAUAAACUAAUAAACUAUCAAGGUGAAGAAAAGCUACGCAACUUGUCUAUUCUUUCUCGAAAAAUCUUUGAAUUGUUUGAUCCAAUGAAUUUGCUACGGACGUCAGGAGUUACGAGAAACAGAACAAAGGACACAAUAGUAGCUGUCCCAAGAAUUCCGAAUAAAAGUCUGAAGUAGGUACCUACUGUUCUCAAGCUUGGAUGGAAGUCAUUCUACGCGUCGGGAGUGGGCCGGCUAAGGCGCGCUGACCAGCCGGGAACAGGGCGCUGGGCGGCGCGGCGUGGCGGCGGCGGGCCGUUCUCGUCCGCUCGCCCGCCGCCACCGUCCGGACGCGUUAUUAAACUUUUCCCCAUAUUAAACAUUCCGGAGACGAAUACAUUUUAUUGUUGCUUCGGACCGACGUCAGAGGCCCCAACAAAGCGAAACUCAAAGACGGCAAUUGCGAAAUAAAUUGAAAGCAAUUUGAUAUUGCGUUGUAAGUAAUAGCCGUCAGGACCCCGCUACUCUGUGGAAGACAUUUUGUAUGCAAUUUAGAGAACUUUCAACGGGCCAUUUGAUUGCGGCCUUUCGGUCCAAUUUUGGGUUCCUAUGGUAGGUACUGCCUGCCGCUGAUUAAUGGCUUAUUUUGACUUAUGGACGAAGGAAAUUUUUUUACCAUAAUGUACCUUGU
Galleria mellonella (greater wax moth) is the source of this 742-nucleotide long non-coding RNA. RefSeq lists it as uncharacterized. The transcript has 3 exons. NCBI's taxonomy places the organism in Eukaryota, Metazoa, Arthropoda, Insecta, Lepidoptera, Pyralidae. The record is from RefSeq and is a predicted model, not a curated record.